This 487-nucleotide long non-coding RNA is filed under the name Homo sapiens (human). Its description in RNAcentral is "non-protein coding MEF2C-AS1:45". Lineage: Eukaryota; Metazoa; Chordata; Mammalia; Primates; Hominidae. The record is from RNAcentral.
GUUUCUAGAGCUCGGAGGCUGCUGGUAGGGGGUGCUUGUAGACAUGGAAGAAGGCCUCACCUUCUCCAUGGCUGACAACCGAGAAGGCUGGUCUGACUUGGAAGAAGCUGUGUGGCCAACAGCCAAUUGGCUGUAUCACAUGGGCACCACUUUCAGAUAAAAACAUAGACCUGAAUGGCAUCAUCCAGUAUCCAAGGAAACCAUUGUGUCUGUAACCAGCUAAUGAGCUGCAACAGAGCCUGGCCUUCAUUUUCAGCAAAUUAAGUUCAUCCCUCAUAGGAAUUGUGGUCUGGCUGUGGCACCGCUCCUAGGUAUGGGUGGGAUUUGUUUCUUCUAGCAGUUGUAGGUUAGCCACAUGGGUACGUGCUGUCGCACCACACAACAAAAUUUUCUCUAUAAUAACCAGUCUAAGUAGGCUUUUACCCCACAAAAGUAGAUCCCAUUUAAUUUACUUUGUGUUUAUAGCACUCCCUCUCAAACCGCACCA